CCUACGGGGGGCUGCAGUGGGGAAUAUUGCACAAUGGAGGAAACUCUGAUGCAGCGACGCCGCGUGAACGAUGAAGGCUUUCGGGUCGUAAAGUUCUGUCCUAGGGGACGAUAAUGACGGUACCCUAGGAGGAAGCCCCGGCUAACUACGUGCCAGCAGCCGCGGUAAUACGUAGGGGGCGAGCGUUGUCCGGAUUUAUUGGGCGUAAAGGGUUCGCAGGCGGUCUCUUAAGUUAGAUGUGAAAGAUCACGGCUCAACCGUGGUAAGCAUUUAAAACUGGGAGACUUGAGUUAAGGAGAGGAAAGUGGAAUUCCUAGUGUAGCGGUGAAAUGCGUAGAUAUUAGGAGGAAUACCAGUGGCGAAGGCGACUUUCUGGACUUAUACUGACGCUGAGGAACGAAAGCGUGGGGAGCAAACAGGAUUAGAUACCCCUGUAGUC
RNAcentral lists this ribosomal RNA (439 nucleotides) under uncultured Tissierella sp. RNAcentral's name for it is "bacterial SSU rRNA". It matches the Rfam family "Bacterial small subunit ribosomal RNA", at positions 338 to 795 of the family's 1533-position model. Lineage: Bacteria; Bacillati; Bacillota; Tissierellia; Tissierellales; Tissierellaceae. The record is from RNAcentral.